This 1685-nucleotide long non-coding RNA is filed under the name Homo sapiens (human). RNAcentral's name for it is "HSALNT0341293". The record is from RNAcentral. Lineage: Eukaryota; Metazoa; Chordata; Mammalia; Primates; Hominidae.
GGCCGCGACGCUAUGGCGCACUGGAGUACCCUGUUCCUGGCAGGGAGGAACAGGAAGAGAAGAGUGUGGCCUCCUAGAAAUCUAGCACGGAGAAAGAUGUUAAGGAGAACUGCAAACCACUGUUCAAUGAAAUAAAAGAGAAUACAAACAAAUGGAACAACAUUCCACGCUCAUGGGUUGGAAGAAUCAAUAUCGUGAAAAUGGCCAUACUGCCCAAGGUAAUUUAUAGAUUCAAUGCCAUCCCCAUCAAGCUACCAAUGACUUUCUUCACAGAAUUGGAAAAAACUACUUUAAAGUUCAUAUGGAACAAAAAAGAGCCCGCAUCGCCAAGUCAAUCCUAAGCCAAAAGAACAAAGCCAGAGGCAUCAUGCUACCUGACUUCAAACUAUACUACAAGGCUACAAUAACCAAAACAGCAUGGUACUGGUACCAAAACAGAGAUAUAGAUCAAUGGAACAGAACAGAGUCCUCAGAAAUAACACCACAUAUCUACAACCAUCUGAUCUUUGACAAACCUGACAAAAACAAGCAGUGGGGAAAGGAUUCCCUAUUUAAUAAAUGGUGCUGGGAAAACUGGCUAGUCAUAUGUAGAAAGCUGAAACUGGAUCCCUUCCUUACACCUUAGACAAAAAUUAAUUCAAGAUGGAUUAAAGACUUACAUGUUAGAACUAAAACCAUAAAAACCCUAGAAGAAAACCUAGGCAAUACCAUUCAGGACAUAGGCAUGGGCAAGGACUUCAUGUCUAAAACACCAAAAGCAAUGGCAACAAAAGCCAAAAUUGACAAACGGGAUCUAACUAAACUAAAGAGCUUCUGCACAGCAAAAGAAACUACCAUCAGACUGAACAGGCAACCUACAAAAUGGGAGAAAAUUUUCGCAACCUACUCAUCCAACAAAGGGCAAAUAUCCAGAAUCUACAAUGAACUCAAAUAAAUUUACAAGAAAAAAACAAACAACCCCAUCAAAAAGUGGGCGGAGGAUAUGAACAGACACUUCUCAAAAGAAGACAUUUAUGCAGCCAAAAAACACAUGAAAAAAUGCUCAUCAUCACUGGCCAUCAGAGAAAUGCAAAUCAAAACCACAAUGAGAUACCAUCUCACACCAGUUAGAAUGGCGAUCAUUAAAAAGUCAGGAAACAACAGGUGCUAGAGAGGAUGUGGAGAAAUAGGAACACUUUUACACUGUUGUUGGGACUCUAAACUAGUUCAACCAUUGUGGAAGUCAGUGUGGCGAUUCCUCAGGGAUCUAGAACUAGAAAUACCAUUUGACCCAGCCAUCCCAUUACUGGGUAUAUACCCAAAGGACUAUAAAUCAUGCUGCUAUAAAGACACAUGCACACGUAUGUUUAUUGCGGCACCAUUCACAAUAGCAAAGACUUGGAACCAACCCAAAUGCCCAACAACGAUAGACUGGAUUAAGAAAAUGUGGCACUUAUACACCAUGGAAUACUAUGCAGCCAUAAAACAUGAUGAAACUGGAAACCAUCAUUCUCAGCAAACUAUCACAAGGACAAAAAACCAAACACCGCAUGUUCUCACUCAUAGGUGGGAAUUGAACAAUGAGAACACAUGGACACAGGAAGGGGAACAUCACACCCCGGGGACUGUUGUGGGGUGGGGGGAGGGGGGAGGGAUAGCAUUUGGAGAUAUACCCAAUGCUAAGUGACAAGUUAAUGGGUGCAGCA